Molecule: ribosomal RNA, 427 nt
Filed under: uncultured bacterium
Lineage: Bacteria
Description: partial 16S ribosomal RNA
Rfam family: Bacterial small subunit ribosomal RNA
Source: RNAcentral
UGGGGAAUAUUGCACAAUGGGCGCAAGCCUGAUGCAGCCAUGCCGCGUGUAUGAAGAAGGCCUUCGGGUUGUAAAGUACUUUCAGCGAGGAGGAAGGCGUUGUGGUUAAUAACCGCAACGAUUGACGUUACUCGCAGAAGAAGCACCGGCUAACUCCGUGCCAGCAGCCGCGGUAAUACGGAGGGUGCAAGCGUUAAUCGGAAUUACUGGGCGUAAAGCGCACGCAGGCGGUCUGUCAAGUCGGAUGUGAAAUCCCCGGGCGCAACCUGGGAACUGCAUCCGAAACUGGCAGGCUAGAGUCUUGUAGAGGGGGGUAGAAUUCCAGGUGUAGCGGUGAAAUGCGUAGAGAUCUGGAGGAAUACCGGUGGCGAAGGCGGCCCCCUGGACAAAGACUGACGCUCAGGUGCGAAAGCGUGGGGAGCAAACA